CCAUAAAAUCUGGGAGCCCAAGCAGCAUAUUUGUGGGAUUUGUCUGACAGAACGCAAUGGAAACAGAGCGUGGCAUUCGCUCCAUCUCCCCCAGGCAAGGAAAGCAUCUUUUGGGACCAUCAAAUGCAUCCUGUUCCUGAAGGAGCAGAAACAGUGAAAGCGGACACUUGUCUCAGCUGGCCUCUGUCUCUAGCAUGAAAUCCCUGGAGAGUGAUUUUGCAGCCCCUCUUCCAGAACACAGCUUCUGCAAACAAGCUUCUCUUACUCUAUGUCUCCACCAAAUGAGGUACUUCUGCAUCUACUUCUGCUCACAGAACUGCCUAGGUGGUCCACCAAGAAGGAAAAUUGUUUACUCUGGUAUCUUCCUAAGAAACUGUACACUUAAAUUGUUUUGUCUUCAAGGAGAUUCAUAGAAAGGACUCUAACAAGUUUCUGAUAACUUUAAGAUUAUACCAUUAAACUAGCAGGUAAAGGAAGAUUUUCAUGAUUCACUGACUGAGGACAAUCAAAUUCUUCACCACGUAGAACCUAGACAUUGGGUCUUUGGAAAGGACAUCAGAGAAAGACUGCCAUUAAGCUCCAUUGGAAGAGACCAUAUCAAGUUCUUUUCUGCAGCAAACCAUCAGGCUCUCAAGUCUUGGAUCUAUGUCUCUCAACUCAAAAGAGCUCCUCCAGACUCCUGGAACUGUAUACCUAUUGGAGACUCUAAGGUAAAGCUCACCAGGGAAGAUUUCCCCCAGGAGCAGUUGGCAUCCUAGACUUCAACAGCUUUCGUAAGAUUGUGGAUCAAGACUUCUCUGCCAUCAUGAAAGUCUUAUCUUUUCCCUUUCUUCCCAAUUUCCUGCUGUCCCAGUCCCUUUCUUUUACUUAUAGGAAAAUCCAUGGGGCCAUAAUCUGUGGAUGGCUUUAGCUAAGUCUUAUGCUGUAGUGAAAAAACAGAGCAAUUGUUGGGUUUAUGAAGAUAAGCUAGUUUCUACUGAGGAAAGAUUCCAGUGGCAUUCCUGGGGGCUCAGUCUUGGUACUAGCAGGGUACUGGUAGUAUGGAAUUUGAAAGUAAUCCAUAAAAUGAGAAAAAUCUUGGGUUUGACCAACCAGUCCCCACAGAGGUUCAGGUGAGUAGAAGUCAUCUUUUGAAAACACUUAAUAAAACAUCAUGCAGUUUUGGAUCCUGUUUCCUUAGACACUGCCACCAAAUACAUAAAGGAAAUUUCUCAGAGGAAAGAAACAUAUGACAUGUUCAUAGGAGCAGCAAACCAUUGGUUUGCAGGUAGGCUUGGCUUUUCCAAGGUGUUCUAACCUUUAUGCUCUUCUAAUGGUUCUCCAGAUUACUAUGACUUGUGUUAACAAGAUAAUGACAACAUUGGAUACCUCUUUAAAUCAGCAAACUGCAGUUCUUAAUCAUUAUCACCUCCUGAACAAAAACCAUGACCAACGGUACUCAAAUGCUUUUGAGCUGCCUGUAAGGGAGGAGACCACCCCUCAUAUUGUCUUAUGCCCAAUUUCUGCCUCCAAAUAAAGAAGAAGUAAAAACUAAAAGGCAGAAACGAAAUCCACAAGCAGACAGCCCGGUGCCACACCCUGGGCCUGGUAGUUAAAGAUCGAUGCCUGACCUAAUCAGUUAUGUUAUCUAU
This is a long non-coding RNA of Homo sapiens (human), 1631 nucleotides long. Ensembl annotates it as long intergenic non-protein coding RNA 2389. NCBI's taxonomy places the organism in Eukaryota, Metazoa, Chordata, Mammalia, Primates, Hominidae. The record is from Ensembl.